AGCUUCAGUAGCGUAUAUUAAAGUUGUUGCAGUUAAAAAGCUCGUAGUCGCAUUUCUGGCGAGAGGAUCCGGUCCGCCCUUUUGGUGGGUUCUUGGGUCUCUUUCGCCAUCCUUGAGUGGUCCGUUCUGGCAUUCGGUUGUCGGAGCGUCAGCCGCUCAUCGUUUACUGUGAGAAAAUUAGAGUGUUCAAAGCAGGCUUAUGCCGUUGAAUAUAUUAGCAUGGAAUAAUAAGAUAGGACCUCGGUACUAUUUUGUUGGUUUGCGCACCAAGGUAAUGAUGAACAGGGACAGUUGGGGGUAUUUGUAUUUCGUUGUCAGAGGUGAAAUUCUUAGAUUUACGAAAGACAAACUACUGCGAAAGCAUUUACCAAGGAUGUUUUCA
This 382-nucleotide ribosomal RNA is filed under the name uncultured marine Chaetocerotaceae. RNAcentral's name for it is "SSU rRNA". It matches the Rfam family "Eukaryotic small subunit ribosomal RNA", at positions 587 to 972 of the family's 1831-position model. Lineage: Eukaryota; Bacillariophyta; Thalassiosirophyceae; Chaetocerotales; Chaetocerotaceae. The record is from RNAcentral.